This is a long non-coding RNA of Gavialis gangeticus (Gharial), 1667 nucleotides long. RefSeq lists it as uncharacterized. The record is from RefSeq and is a predicted model, not a curated record. The transcript is spliced from 2 exons. NCBI's taxonomy places the organism in Eukaryota, Metazoa, Chordata, Crocodylia, Gavialidae.
CCUACUUUUCUAUGAUUGUAUGAUAUCGUGUACCUGAUCUUUGUUGGCCGAGCUGUUAGUGCUUUGAGUCUGGAUGUCUGUGAGCCAGGAGACAUGAGAGUGUCCAGCACAAUGGGAAGUGUGGACCCUGUCCAAUUGUUAGGGUACUUGCUGGUGCAGGUGGGUUUAUUGUGCAGGUGUUGGCCCUAUGUAGUCUGGCCCCUCCCUGCGAAACGUGUUUUGUCCCGUCUACGCUGCACACACUUCCCACACCACAGAGCAGGCAUCAGCUCUGAGACAUUUAACAUUUUGCAAUAUUUAGUGCAGAAUAUAAAAUAGUGAUGCAUAAGCUUCUCAGUUUGGCCUUGGGCUGGGGUUUUGCCAUUCCAAAAAAAACCUCUCCAUUGCCUGCAAUAGCGUGUAGGAUGGGUGUUGUUUCAAAGACGUCUACAGCUAGAUCUCAGCUCUUGUAACUUCUGGGAGAGUGAGAUCCUGAUCUGAACUUCAGGGCUGGCUCUGAACAAAUUAAGGACUUGAUCCAAAGGUUGUAGAGGUGAACAAAUCUUUCUGUUGGCUGCUGUGACCUGUAAGUCUCUGUAUGGGGAUGCCAUUCAAGGUUUUGAAGAAGUUCAGCUCAAAGGCAUUGUCUAUGGGAAAAUGAUCCAGAGGAAGUCAGUCAGCUGAGUCUUGUCUAUGGGGAACUGAUCCGGAGGAAGUCAGUUAGCUGAGUUUCAUUCGUCUUUUUUGCUAGUUGCAAAGCUGGCAUUAUACAGAUAAAACCCAUUGAUUUUUAAGAGAAACACUCACUCUACUUAAUCAGGCCCUAACUUAUGAUGUGCUAGUAAAAUGUAUUAAAGAAUCCACAUGCCCUUUCUCCCAAAACAGAACAAAGAGAGGUGGGUUCGGAUCCCAUGGGUUGAGAAGUGAGACUCCUGCAGGCAUGAUAAUAAUGGGUAUGCCCUUAUUUUAAUACCUUUGCUCAACUGUUGCAUCUCUGCUUGGACACUGCAUUUGGACUGCUUUUAACAGGUUCCCAUAUCCAGGUCUGUGCAUUUACUUUUAUCUGUGCACAAACAGAAGCAACCAGAAUGCGCAUGCAUCUAAACCAAAAUGUUGAGAGUCCCACUAGGAAAAUAUCUUGACAUGUUCUCUGUGGAUUUGCCUGGGAGAGUUAAGUGUUCCUAAUAGCUUUUCAUCUCACAGAAAGCACUUCAAGAUCCUAGCUUGCAGAGCUCAUCUUACCCAUUCCUAGUUGUCUCUCCAAGGAGCACCCUUCUCUCUUUGCUUGCAGCAGCUAGCUAGGUGCAUGGUAAGCCCUCCUCUAGCACGGAGUCAGGAGAUGAUGUGUUUCUUGGCCCGCAUUUCUCUGGCUUCAUACCUGGCCAGGGUGGAAGAAGGGUCGAGUCAUGCUCAUAGUAGUUGCUAUUGUUCUUUUGCACAAUCACAGUCUUGUGGGGAGAGCCCAGGACUGAGAGUCAGGAGAUCUGAUAGGGUUUCUGGCCAUGGAGAAGUCACUUUGUUUUGCUGUGCCUCGUUUUACCUCUUGGUGAAAUGGGAACAGUAAUUUUCUUGCAGGAGCACUGCUGCUUAACUCAGCAUGCAGACGCUUGCUAGGAUCGUCAAAAAAUGACAGGGCUGUUCUUAUCAGGAGCCAAGCACUGGCUUUACAUAGCACAUAUAUGCAUACA